Molecule: long non-coding RNA, 388 nt
Organism: Scatophagus argus
Lineage: Eukaryota; Metazoa; Chordata; Actinopteri; Scatophagidae
Exons: 4
Source: RefSeq, a predicted model, not a curated record
CAGAAUGACUCAGAUGGCGAUUCAGAAGAGUCUGAGGAAGAAGUUACAUGAAGGGUUUCCAACCUGCCUAAGAAAAAGAGAGUGAAGCGCUAUGUCCUGCAAAGACAGAAACAGAUAGAGAGCUCGUCUGAAGGAGAUGGGACAUACGAUUGGGAGGUUAAGCGGCCCAUCCUGAAACGCUGGAAACAGAUGGAGAGCUCAUCUAAUAAUGAUGUGAUCAAGUCAGGGAAAUAUGUACCAAAUGAAAGAGAAGAUUCAAAAGAGAACCAGAGAAAGGAAGACAUGAUGCAAGAACAGGAUGAGAAAGCACUGAUGAGCCCAUCUCGAGUCCUACCACUGAAUACAGCCAGCGUUACACUGGAUCUUGUCACUCUGAAGGCACCUAUAU